This is a long non-coding RNA of Bos taurus (domestic cattle), 2456 nucleotides long. The record is from Ensembl. NCBI's taxonomy places the organism in Eukaryota, Metazoa, Chordata, Mammalia, Artiodactyla, Bovidae.
AGAGUUCUCCUGAGAGAGAGGGGGAUGGGAGGAAAGAAGAGAGUAGAGUGCUUGGGGGAGGGACCACGAGCCAGAAAGUGCAAGCAACCCUAGAAGAUGGAGAAAGCAAAGAAACGAAUUCUCCCCUCUGGCCUGCAGAAGGAAGAUAGUCUGGCUGAUACCUUGAUGUUUAGGACUUCUGACCUGCAGAACGAAAAGAGAUAAAUGAUGUCUGAAAUGAAGACAACUUUUGGAAUGAUGAGAUUUUCUAAUGCUUUUGAAUUGUCGUGCUGGAGAAGACUCCUGGGAGUCCCUUGGACAGCAAGGAAAUCAAACCAGUCAAUCCUAAAGGAAAUCAACCCUUAAUAUUCAUUGGAAGGACUGAUGCUGAAGCUGAUGCUCCAAUACUUCGGCCACCUGAUGCCAAGAGCCAACUCACAGGAAAAGAUGCCCUGAUGCUGGGAAAGAUGGAAGGCAAAAGGAGAAGGGGGCGGCAAAGAAUAAGAUGGCUACAUAACAACACCAACUCAGUGGACAUGAAUUUGAGCAAACUCUGGGAGACAGUGGAGGACAAAGGAGGCUGGCAUGCUGCAGUCCAUGGGGUCGCAGAGUUGGAUAUGACUUAGUGAACAAUAACAAAUUCAGAUUUUCAGAUUAUGGUGUAAUUUCUCAGAUGUCUGAGGGGAUAUUAUUAGAUAUUUACCUUAAUAUCCUGUCACUGCUUGCUCCAAUAGUCCCAGUGUACUUACCUUGCAGACAAUUGAAUAGGUUUGCUUCCAUUUUUGCUUUUAAAAACCUUACUAAAUACCUCCCUAUGUGAGACAUUCUCUACAGAGGAAAUGCACACAAGCUGAACUGCCAGCAGCCUCAUGGAUUUCCCCAUCUGUGUUCCCCUGGGACAUUUAAGAAUAACAUGUCCAAAAUGGAACUCGUCCUCAACCUCUCAGUGCACAUCUUUGUUCCUUACCUUGGCUAAAGUCAUCUCCAUCCAUCUAGCAAUCCAAGUCAGAAGCUCUGAUUCCUUCUAGAACAGUGGUACUCAAAGUGUAGUCUGCAGAUGAGUUAGACCACAGAUAACCAUCAUAACAAGUUAAGGUUAUUGAAAAUACAGGAAUUGGAAAUUGAAACGUAUAGAAAUUGAAAAUAAGCAUUAAGAUUUUUAUAGUAAGUGGACAUUUCUGGAACAUCCAAGCACAUGAUCAUUUUAUCUUACAAAAGAAAUGCUCCACAAUGAAUUGGAAAUCUAUAACUUAGACUUCACCAAAACACAUUGAGGGGACUUCCCUGGUUAGGACUCUGUGCUUCCCACUGAAGGGGGCCUGAGUUCAAUCCCUCGUCAGAGAACUAAGAUCCCACAAAGACACACUAUGCAGCCUGAAAAUAAAUAAGACACAUUGAGAAGUGCUAUUCUGGGCUGCUGCUUUCCCCUUUCCAAGGUGACAUUAAUUUUAGAAUAUCUCCUAAAUAUACAUCAAAUCUGUUCUCUUCUCUACUUUAAGUCUAGUCUCUUGUUUCUUACCUGGCAGGUAACUGCUUUCUUCCUCCUUAAUCCUUUCCACUCCUCCGACCAUGACCAUAUUGCCUCCAGAGAAUAUUUUAGGAUGCAGAUACAAUCACAUGCCUCCCUGUUUGAAGCCUAACAUUGGUUUUCCACUAACAACAGAAUAAAAUAUACAUUCCUUUGCAUGAUUUGCAAGGCCCAAUCUGGCCCUUUUCUAUUAUUUAGUUUGCUCUUUGCCACUCUCUGCUCUUUGGUCUAUAUAAUAAUCAUCAAACCUAGAUUGCUAAAGACACUUUACUUUUUCAGAUCUCUCCAAUUUUAAGCACUCUGUUCCAUGCAACUAGAAUAACUGUCUGUGUUGGCUCCUUGGAAAAAUUCUUUUCUGUAACAUUCCACUCAACAGAAUCAAAUUGGAAUUGGGGUCAUGGAAGCAGGACAAAAUUCAUUGGCUCAACUGAGUCAGAAGUAAGUAAGAGAAUGAGCACAUCAGGGUUAGGAUAAGAAGGUUUAAAGCUUGGGUGAGGGUUUCUUAGCCAAAUGGAAGAGCCGGCAUUGUUGUGGGAAAGUCCAGAUCUAGGAAACAAGAACCAACUCAGUUUGAUAAAAACAAGUUGUGGUGGUCUUGAGCAGCAAACUCCAAGAUCAAGAGAAAUGGGUGCCAAGGUAUUCUGCAGAAGUGAAAGCUGUAAAUCAAGCAGGAUCCAGACCAGGGUCCCAUCUGGAAUCUCAGACAAGAGCAGGGAACAUGCACACUCCACUUGCCCUGAGGUCUGCUUAGACCUUGUUGAUGUUCUAGCUAGUUUUUGCUUCCACAUUCCCAUACAUAGAGUUUCUUACCCUGGGGUGCUUUAUGUCAGGGAAUCUGAUAUAUCCUCCUCAUAUAGCAUCUCUCCUCAACUUCUUGCUAUGGUUUGCAUAUGUGUGUAUGCUUCUAUAUUUAUUAGCUGUUACCUCACUUUAUUACAAUUUUUUUUUU